CCCUUAGAUGCUCUGGGCCGCACGCGCGCUACACUGGUCGAUGCAACGAGUUUCUUUCCUUGGCCGACAGGCCUGGGCAAUCUUUGAACAUCGAUCGUGAUCGGGAUAGAUUCUUGUAAUUUUUGAUCUUAAACGAGGAAUUCCUAGUAAGCGCAAGUCAUCAGCUUGCAUUGAUUACGUCCCUGCCCUUUGUACACACCGCCCGUCGCACCUACCGAUUGAAUGGUCCGGUGAAAUCUCCGGACUGGCGUGAGUCGGAGCAAUCUGACAAACACCGGAAAGUUGAUUAAACCUUACCAUUUAGAGGAAGGUGAAGUCGUAACA
This 324-nucleotide ribosomal RNA is filed under the name uncultured eukaryote. Its description in RNAcentral is "partial 18S ribosomal RNA". It matches the Rfam family "Eukaryotic small subunit ribosomal RNA", at positions 1470 to 1796 of the family's 1831-position model. The record is from RNAcentral.